Molecule: long non-coding RNA, 10933 nt
Filed under: Mytilus galloprovincialis (Mediterranean mussel)
Lineage: Eukaryota; Metazoa; Mollusca; Bivalvia; Mytilida; Mytilidae
Source: RNAcentral
AUCGAGGAAAAAACGUUUGAAGAUUGUAAAAAGCUGAAAACCCUGUAAGUACAUUUGUUGUUAUGUACAUUUAUGUUGACCUUAUCCAAACAAAGUUUUGAGGAUAUUAAAUUCAUCAUACGUUAUCUAAUGUCAGACAGCUUUUAUCGGUCACAUUAACAGUCUAUAACGCAUUCGCUACCGAUCGUCUUGUUAUGGGUCGACUAGUUCUAACCUUUGAAUAUUUGCAAUAUCCCUUUAAAUUACACUUUUGUAGAGAAAUUAAAAACAAAGUCGAUACAUUUAUUAUUUAAUUGUUAGUAAAAAAUGUUUUAUUGAAAUAUCUUAAGCAUCGAUCAAACCUUUCCGGAUAGCACGAACUGACGCCUAACGGAUGACAAUAAACGAUGUCCGUUGACAAAAUUGUUAUACGAUUGGAGUCCGUUGAUGUACUGACCGAAUACAACGGACGUGUAACGAAUACUUGAGGGACACACGCCGGAUAUGCAACGUACGAGCAACGGAAACGUUCCGGACAGAACGGAUGCCGAACAUUCAUCCAACGGACGAGUAACGCAUAAAACGAACACCUAACGGAAGCGUACCGGAUAAAACGAAUGAACAAGCUAUACAGAAAAAAAGGCGACAAUAAUAAAUCGCAUAAAUUCAAAAUGUUUCUGCGAUUUUUUGUUCUUACCGCAAAAUGGCAGUGUAUGGUCGGAUAAGAGCUGCCUGAUUGACGACGUGUCCUUACUCUAAGAUCGAUUAUGAAUAAAAUUCAUGAACCUUAAGAAAUCUGACAAACCAAUAAUUGACAUUUCUGCGAAAUUCAAUUGGCAUUUAUCCGUUUCAGAUCCGUUAAUCAUCCAAUGAGGUUAUAUGUAAAUUCCAAGGGACAUCUUGAGUUAUGUGAUGUACUACUGUGUUUGAUAUGUAGUAUAAUAAAGAUAACGCAAUUCAAAUCUACAAGCAUAAAACUUAUACUGCUUAUCCAACUUAUCUUAUAAAUAUCAACACAUAUUUUACUUUACGCAUUGUUUACUAUGGUAUAAUAUGUUUGAAAGUAAUCGUGUGACCUACCUACAGUACUUACAACCUGUUGCAUUACUGUUGUAGAGAUUUGUCAGCAGUUAUCGAUCAGUCACCGAUCAUUCAAAUCCGUGUCAAACUCACACAUAUAUCAUACUUAUACGGAUACUCUUUGACUGUUGAAACCUUUCGGAAGAAUUGACCUUUCUAAUGGUUUGAACUCUACUGGGUAACUUGUUGAACUAUAGCCAAUAAAGUCAUCUAAUUUCGUUGCCUAUUUCACUGAACUAGUAUAAAUUAUUGAUUAGGAACCAGAUGAAUCUCAGUUAAGGGAUUAUCUAGCCCAUUGGUGGUCUGAUGCUGUUUUCUGCUCUGAAUUCGGGUUGGAGUCAUAUUAAAGCAUUCCCCGGUUUAUUUCCAAUAUCAUACAAAAGGUUUUAUGUCUUUAUAUGCAGUACGAUAUACUUGUAUGUUCGAUUGAAAAGAAAAAAAGACUAUAUAAAGUAUUAUUUAUUUCAGAGAUCUCAGCGUGAACCUUAUUGAAUAUAUACAACCGACAACAUUUAAGAAUUUGACAUCCCUACAAGUAUUGUGAGUUGUUAAAUAUCAUAUUUUGUAUCAGUAAAACUAACAUUUAAUACCGUUCACAGUACCAAUUGUACAUCACCAAAUAUGCAUUAUAUAGUUAAUGACCCUUUCGUGAUGCUAGAGGCCAAAAUCUGUAAACGUCAAGGCAUACAAGCAUAUUUGAGGAGCGAAUACAGCAAAAGAAUACAGCACAACAAGAAAAAUAAAAAGUGCAAAUGUUAAAUAUAUGAAAAGUCAAGAGAGUAUCCCUUCCCCCAAAAUUUCAAUUGAUCAUAUCUCAAAAAGAAGUACACGUACCUUUCAUUUAGCUCUGUUUAUAAAUUCAGUUUUCUGAAUACUAUCAAUUUAUGACAAAACUUUACGAACUUUGUUAAUUUGUAUGAUAGAGGCAAUCGUCCUUUUUAAAUAUGCACGUUUUUAAGCGUUUUAACAACAUAUAUUGCUGUAUAUCGCAUUUUAAACCCAACAACUUAUUUUUUUGCCUUAAUGAACACUGUUAUGGAUAAAGAUAAUCCCAAACUAGCAAAUACAUGUGUAAUACCUCGGAAAAAUCUACAAAUGAGUCGAAAUGAUUACGAUGGUUAUCCUCUAUUUCGUUGUCACUCACUCACCCUCGUUUGAUGAAUAGGAUACAAUGUAUUCAUUUUUCUUUCAUUAAAAGGAUGGUAAGGUUACUGUCAUAGAUGGUGCUGCAAUAUCUCAACAGUAAUAUUAACAGAUCUUGAGGUCAAUAAACAAGCUUCGACGAUAGUAAACAGUCAACACGUAUAUUACAAAACAGAACGUAGACCACUUGCAAUUACAUUUUACCAGGAACAAUGUUAAAACAACUUUCUAGAUAGCUAGUUCGUAUAUCUAGCGAGAAUAAUCAUAUAUACGAAUGUAGACUACGUUUUUUUAAACAUUACAAAUGAGUCAAGAAAACAUUUAGUUUACGUAAGCCUAGCAGGAAUACAAUCAAAGAGCUGUAUAUCUUCUUGGGAAACGAUUUAUUCACAUGAGUACAGUACUUGCAACCUUAGGCGUUACUAUUUCAGCGAUCAGUCAACGGUCAUCGAUCAGUCACCGAUCAGUCAAGUUCGCGUCAAACUCACGUCAGCAAUCCGUCAGACUUAUAGUAAAAGUAAUUGACUGAUCGGACUGAUCGGACGGAUAGUACCGAUCGACCUUGAUGACGGAUUGAACUUGAAUACGUCACAUGAUAAACUAAUACAAAUUACGAAAUCUCAGUUUCGUUUAAUCUAAUUAAAAUGGCGACUAUUGAAAAUCGAACGUUCAAUUAUACAUUUUGUUUAUUAACUAUUUAGCAAAGUUUUAUGAAUUGAAAUGAAAAGAAAUGUACAGAUAAAACCUAAAUUAAAAUAUCAUCAUUAAAGAAUGGUCUUUUUCGUUUUAUUUAGGUUAUAUAUUUUCAAAACCGGCGAGUUCUAAAACGGUGUCUACAUCGCGGUUUUUAUUUUAUUAUUUUCCAAACAUUCUCGGGAAAAACAAAAUGAAAGAAUCAGUUGUUGAAAAAUGUAGUCUAUUUUUUUCAAUAUUUUAAAUUUUUGUAUCCUUAUCAUCAUAAAAUUCUUAUAAAAAACUUAUCAUAAUCACGGACUUACUAUAUUCUCGUCACAAUCGAAGCAUUUCAAAUAACAAAUUAUAAAAAUAACUGCUGUAUUUUUUAACAAGAAACAGAAAUAAUUUUAAACAAUGCAAACAACAUUACAUUAUAUUUUUCUGAGAGUCUUUUUUUAAUCAAAAAGAUAACUACUCCUAAACAAUAAAAAGUACAUCAUUACAUCUCAAUUCUAAUUAGCACACUUGUCUCCAGAUGGUAAAAUAACUGAUUUCAAAUAAAAUAGUAUCAUCUUUAAUAAAAAGAAGAAUAAUUUUGGUUAUUCUAAACAAUGCGAAUAAAAUUUUAGUAUGAUUUCUCUGACAUUCCUUUAAUUUUAUGAACAAAAAAACCAUUUCAAACCAAGGACUAUACAAAUCCUUGUUCAAACUAUAAAAAUUACAAAAUCCAAUGGCGGUCAAUAAUUUUCAGUAAAAUGAAGAAAUAUUUGCAUUUUACGCAACGCGUACAAAAAUUUAAUAUCUUUUUCCUUAAAGUAAGCAUGUUUUAUGAGGAACAGCCAAUCCUGAUGUACAAAAAGUAAUGAAAUCAUAUGACGAUUAUUAAUUUGUAUCAAAAUAAAUCAAUAACUGCAUUCUUAUUCCACAAAAAUAAAAGUUUAAGUAUUUUAAUUCUCAUUAUAUCUCAAUUCUAAUUAGAAGACUUGUCUCAAGAUGGUAAAAAUAACUGAUUUCAAAUAAAAUAGUAUCAUUUUUGAUAAAAGAAGAUUAAUUUUGAUUAUUUUAAACAAUGCGAACAAAAUUUUGGUAUGAUUUUUCUGAUAUUAUUUUAAUUUUAUGAAAACAAAACCUAUUCUAAGCUAUAAAAAGUACAAAAUUCCAAUGGCGGUCAAUAAUUUUCAGUAAAAGGAAAAAAUAUUUGCAUUUUAGGCAACGCGUACAAAAAUUUAAUAUCUUUUUCCUUAAAGUAAGCAUGUUUUAUGAAGAACAGCCAAUCAUGAUGUACAAAAAGUACUGAAAUCAUGUGACGUUAUUAUUUGUAACAAAAUAAAUCAAUAACUACAUUCUUAUUCCACAAAAACAAAAGUGUAAGUAUUUUAAUUCUCAAUAUAUCUCAAUUCUGAUUAGAAGACUUGUCUCAAGAUGGUAAAAAUAACUGAUUUCAAAUAAAAUAGUAUCAUUUUUAUAAAAAGAAGAAUAAUUUUGAUUAUUUUAAACAAUGCGAACAAAAUUUUAGUAUGAUUUUUUCUGAUAUUAUUUUAAUUUUAUGAAAAAAAAACUAUUCUCAACUAUAAAAAGUACAAAAAUCCAAUGGCGGUCAAUAAUUUUCAGUAAAAUGAAACAAUAUUUGCAUUUUAGGCAACGCGUACAAAAAUUUAAUAUCUUUUUCCUUAAAGUAAGCAUAUUUUAUGAAGAACAGCCAAUCAUGAUGUACAAAAAGUACUGAAAUCAUGCGACGGUUAUAUUAGUAUCAAAAUAAAUCAAUAACUACAUUCUUAUUCCACAAAAAAAUAAAAGUGUAAGUAUUUUAAUUCUCAUUAUAUCUGAAUUCUGAUUAGAAGACUUGUCUCAAGAUUGUAAAAAUAACUGAUUUCAAAUAAAAUAGUAUCAUUUUUGAUAAAAAGAAGAAGAAUUUUGAUUAUUUAAACAAUGCGAACAAAAUUUUAGUAUGAUUUUUCUGAUAUUCUUUUAAUUUAUGACAAAAAAACUAUUCUUCAAUAUAAAAAGUACAAAAAUCCAAUGGCUGUCAAUAAUUUUCAGUAAAAUGAAGAAAUAUUUGUAUUUUAGGCAACGCGUACAAAACUUUUAUACCUCUUUCCUGAAAGUUAGAUUAUUCUAUGAAGAACAGCCAAUCAUGAUGUACAAAUAGUACUGAAAUCAUAUGACGGUUAAUAAUUUGCAUCAAAAUAAAUCAAUAACUGCAUUCUUAUUCCACAAAAAUAAAAGUUUAAGUAUUUUAAUUCUCACUAUAUCUCUAUUCUGAUUAGAAGACUUGUCUCUAGAUGGUAAACAUUACUGAUUUCAAAUAAAAUAGUAUCAUUUUUAAUAAAAAGAAGAAUAAUUUUGGUUAUUUUUAACAAUGCGAAUAAAAUUUCAGUAUGAUUUCUCUGCCAUUCUUUUAAUUUUAUGAAAAAAAAACUAUUCUAAACUAUAAAAAGUACAAAAAUCCAAUGGCGGUCAAUAAUAUUCAGUAAAAUGAAGAAAUAUUUGCAUUUUAGGCAACGCGUACAAAAAUUUAAUAUCUUUUUCCUUAAAGUAAAAUUAUUUUAUGAAAAACAUCCAAUCAUUAUGUACAAAAAGUACUGAAAUCAUAUGACAGUUAAUAAUAUGCAUCAAAAUAAAUCAAUAACUACAUUCUUAUUCCACAAAAAUAAAAGUUUAAGUAUUUUAAUUCUCAUUUUAUCUGAAUUCUGAUUAGAAGACUUGUCUCAAGAUGGUAAAAAUAACUGAUUUCCAAUAAAAUAGUAUCAUUUUUGAUAAAAAGGAGAAUAAUUUUGAUUAUUUUAAACAAUGGGAACAAAAUUUUAGUAUGAUUUUUUCUGACAUUCUUUUAAUUUAUGAGAAAAAACAAUUCUUAAAUAUAAAAAGUACAAAAAUCCAAUGGCGGUCAAUAAUUUUCAGUAAAAUGAAGAAAUAUUUGCAUUUUAGUCAAUAAUGUCUAUGCAUCCGGCAAGCCGGACAAAUAGCAUUUUUUACGGUUUUUCGCUAUUUGUCCGGCCAAAAAUAUAAUGAUGAAGAUAUAACAUCGUGUUUUGAAGGUUUUUAAUAAAGCACGAGUUGUUUUAAUUGAUAUUGUCUAACAUAUUUUUAUAAAAAAAGAAGUCAUUCUAAAAAAAAAAGAAAUAAACUAUACAUUUGAUUCAGACUUUUUUAUUCUAAUAUUCUAUGUGCGCAUAUAUUUUUUUAGGAAUAGGGCUUUAAAAAUAGUGGUUUAAUGUGCAUGGUCUUUUGUAUUCCAAUAUAUUGAUUCCAGUCAUAGUUUUGUGUAUCAAUAUGCAAUGGCUUUAUUUAAUAUACAUCAUACAAUCAAAUUUAUGAUAAAAUUUCGACUCUUUUCACAUUUUUUUUAACGGUAAUAAUUCUUAUUUGUCUGUCUUGAAAAAGAUUGCCAUCCAUCCCUCCAUUUUUUUGGGUACUGAGGGAGGGAGGGGGAAUGAUUCUCUCUUUUGUUGUUCUGCAUAUGAAUUUCCUGUAAAGUAAAUAGUCGGGCCAAUCAUUAUUGGCUUCAUCUAUGAUUCUAAAAGAUCCUGAAUUUAUUGUUUCUGUGAAGUUUGGUUAAAGUAAGGUCCUCAUAUGAUUAUCAGUGCACAAUUCUUCACUUAAAUUGUUCGGCGAUUUUUAAUUCAUAGGAAAUUAGAGAAAAUGGUAGGCACGUGUAACCUGUCCCCAAAAGUAGCAUUGUGUUUUCGAUAAGAUUUGUUUUAGAAAAAAAAUGUAUAUAAUAAAUAUUUAGAUACAACCAAAAAAAGGGGGGAUCCCCAACCCUAGUGUCUUAUACCCAGUCUCGGCAUAUCAGUAUGUUCAUAGAUCUCCGUUGUAGUAUAACUUGAAAAUAAUGCAUCCAAGCAAGUUUAAUUGAUAUAAUAUUUUUUCCGAAUGCGUUUUGCCUCCAUAAGGUAGUUGGGUAAAUCAUCAAUUUCACUUUAAUUUCAGGCUUAUUCCUCACAGUUAACAUGCAUACGCUAUUGUUCUGGAAUCACUCCUAUAGACAUUUGUUUAAAGCAAUCACAUUCUCUCUGGUUUUCUCUAUGACAUCUUUAAAUAUUAAUCACGAUCUCCAAUUCUCAAAACGUCCAUUGCAUACGCGCGUGUGUUAUCCGACACCGCGUGUGUUAUCCGACACCGCGUGUGUUAUCCGACACCUCAUCCGGGACACUUUCCGCGUCACACGAUACUUUAUUGAUAUUGAAGAUUUGCGCAUCCGCAGACAGAUGGCCGGACGAAUAGAGAUUUUUAACUAUUCGUCCGGCUAGCCGGACGAAUAGACAAUCCGUUAAUAAUUUGCAUCAAAAUAAAUCAAUAACUGCAUUCUUAUUCCACAAAAAUAAAAGUUUAAGUAUUUUAAUUCUCACUAUAUCUCUAUUCUGAUUAGAAGACUUGUCUCUAGAUGGUAAAAAUAACUGAUUUCAAAUAAAAUAAUAUCAUUUUUAAUAAAAAGAAGAAUAAUUUUGGUUAUUUUUAACAAUGCGAACAAAAUUUUAGUAUGAUUUCUCUGCCAUUCUUUUAAUUUUAUGAAAAAAACUAUUCAAAAUAUAAAAAGUACAAAAAUCCAAUUGCGGUCAAUAAUUUUCAGUAAAAUGAGGAAUUAUUUGCAUUUUAGGCAACGCGUACAAAAAUUUAAUAUCUUUUUCCUUAAAGUAAAAUUAUUUUAUGAAGAACAGCCAAUCAUAUGACAGUUAAUAAUAUGCAUCAAAAUAAAUCAAUAACUGCAUUCUUAUUCCACAAAAUUAAAAGUUUAAGUAUUUUAAUUCUCAUUAUAUCUCAAUUCUGAUUAGAAGACUUGUCUCAAGAUUGUAAAAAUAACUGAUUGCAAAUAAAAUAGUACAAUAUUUGAUAAAAAGAAGAUUAAUUUUGGUAAUUCUAAACAAUGGGAACAAACUUUUAAUAUCAUUUCUUUGACAUUCUUUUAAUUUCAUGAACAAACAGCCUAUUCGAAACUAUUAAAAGUUCAAAAAUCCAAUGGCGGUCAACAAUAACCAUUUUCGUAGAAAUAAGUUCAUGUUAACUGAGUCAUAUAAUACAAUUAUGUAUUAUAUGUCUCUGAUGUUUAUAAUAUUUAAUACGAAAAUAUUAACCAACACAAACAAUUUAACGCUCUAAUUAAGCAUCUUAUUCUGUUAAACUAUUUUUACUUUUUUAUUCCAACUAAUUUUAUUACAAAUUAUAACGUGUAAAUUAAGGUGUCUUCGUAGAGGUCCGCGUUCAUCGAUUGUCAACACCGUGGAGUUCGGUUUACAUAAGAAUUUUAAAUAUAUACGUCUCCGUCCGAUCCGUGCAUAAAUUUAAUUUACUGAUCGAUCGGUGACAGUUGUCAGGGUAACUCUUACAUAGGUAAUUUGACUUAUCUCACGGAUCCUAUGGGUCACCGAUCACCGAUCACUCAUCGAUCAGUCAAACAUCCGUCACCGAUCAUUCACCGAUCAGUCAAGUUCACGUCAAACAGUAACGCCUAAAGUUGCAAGUACUGUAUGAUUGCAUGUCUGGGAUUUACCAGCCCAGUAUUCAGCACUCCGGUGUUGACAUGAAUAUCAAUUAUAUGGUCAUUUUUAUAACUUUCCUGUAACAAAACUUUGCUUUUAUCGAAAACCUAAGGAUUUUUUAAUUCCAAGAAUAGAUUACCUUAGCUGUAUUUGACACAACGUUUUGGAAUGUUGGGUCCUCAAUGCACUUCAACUUUGGGACAACUGUGUGCUAUAAGACAUUUGCGGAAACUGUCAUACACCUACAAUUAGGAUUACACUUAUACUUACAGGUAGCAUUCGAAUCUUUGGAUUUCUCAAAGUGUAAAAAUAAACCGUCAAUCCAAAACAAUGUAACGAUAGGGAUGUUUUUCUGUAGUUUAUCUUUUUUAAAUAUAUGUGCAGCAAUAUGUUAACAUUAUUUAUUGUUUACGGUGUUAUCCGAAGUUGAAAAUGCUGAAAAACAUGAGGCGCACAAAAUAUCGCAAUUGUUGUUGCAGUUGAUAGAUAGGGACAGUUGCUGAAAAAAGUCAGCAAUACUUUGUAAACGCGUAAAAAAGGUGCAAUCAACCAUGGAUCAUGUUAGCAUGUUUAUGCUAAUACAUGCUUUCUUUCUUUUAUUUUGUUUUAAAGAGAAUGAAAAAAUACCGCGGACGGGUUUUUUCAGCUAUUUAUUCUUCAUGGAAUUUUACUUGUUGUUCGGUAUUGUUUUGAAAUAAUUUUUUUUUCUUGAAUAGGACAAACACUUUUGUCUACGUUUUUGGUUUCAAUAGAAAAAAAAAUCACAACUACUCGAAAAAAAACACAAAAAAAAACAGUUAUCGACGAACUUUUCUGUGUAGGAAAUAUAUUUUAGACUGUGUUCGCCAGACUGAGUUGAAAUAUAAAAUAUCUGUUCUCAAAUAGUUAAAACUUUGCUAUCUAUGUUUUCAACAGCAACACACAGAAAACGACAACGAGUUACAAGUUUGUUUUUUUUUUCAUGCAAUUAUUUUAAAAAGAUCUUGGGAAUCAUCAAGUAUGGACGGCAAAAGAGGGUGUUCCAACACCCGGAACAAAUGUCCCUUGAUCUCUCACUGCGACGUUGUUCCUUUCAACACAAAUUUAUACGCAAAUAUAUUCAAUUGAUAGUUAGAGAUAAAAUAUUCAAACGUAUAGCAGGCGAGAAGAAAUUGUUAAAAUACAUCUAUCUACACAUUCGGCCUUAUCAAUCCUUGUCUUCAAAUAUUCGGCUGUGUGCGGUCCUGAUGCUAAAUACAGAAAAGCGCUUUGGACACAUGUAAUUUAACAUUUUGCAUUCAUCUUUUUUUUUUCUUUUUUUUUCUUUUUUUUUUCUUUUUAUAGAAGACACCUUUUGAUAUUUUGUAUAUGUAUUAUUGGUUUGUUUUGUAUUUUGAUAUGACCCCUUGUUUUGUCACCUGUAAUUGUAAGUCUAACGUGUAAUCCUAUGCACAGACCUAGUUUCCGCAAAUGUUUAUAAGAAGAGAGCUAUACGCUAUAUUACUUUGGUUGUGUUAAGAGUAGUUACCAAAAGUACCAGGAUUAUUACGCUAGAUUACUUUGGUUGUGUUAAGAGUAGUUAUCAAAAGUACCAGGAUUAUUACGCUAGAUUACUUUGGUUGUGUUAAGAGUAGUUAUCAAAAGUACAUUUGAUUAACAUCUACGUGAAAUGUCAUUUUAUUGAUCUUUUAAAUCUAUUAGUUUAUUUGCCUGUUAUUAAAUUUGUGCAGUUAUAAAGAGGAUGAACACAUUCCAAUUGUAUAAUCUUUUCUUUUAGACAUUUGUAUGACAAUAAACUAUCUACAAUAGAACCGUUCACUUUUAUAAAUCUGCCAAGUCUUCGAGAUUUGUGAGUAUAUGUUUAGUAUUUAUUUAAAUUGCAAUCGACGAAAAACCUGACAGCGUAUGGAUGUUAUCAAAUAUAAGUUAACGUAAGGCCUUCACCAUUGUAUGAAACAUAUACAACAAAGACAGCUAUAAAUGCUACUGACGUAAUCUGAAAAAAAUAAAGCAAGAUAUCAAGCAGCCUAUUUUAAGAUAAAACAGCAAACGAAACACAAAACGUUUAACUACGCCCUUACGCCAAGUACACAUAUCCUGGAUACAAUAUGGUUAUAAUUUUCGUUAAGCUGCUAUCUAUUUAUGAAUUCAUUCGAAUUGACAAUAAUCGUUUACAUAAAGUUAUUGACCUUAAAUGAAUCAGAGUAAUAAAAAGGGUCCCUUAACAAAUACAUAUUUGUAUUAAGAACAACUCUACGUUCAUAAUAACGGUUUUUGCACACGUAUAAAAAAAUUAUUUGUUACCUUUUUCUGCAUAAUUAUGAUUACUGUCUUUUCGAAUUUCCAAGUAUGUUGAUCUGUUCACGUAUAGUAUAAAGAAAAUAACAAAUACUAGGUAUUUUUCAACACACAACAUAGUUUGCAUACUUAAUGUGUUGAAACUGUGUUCGUGCAUAUACUUUAACUUUCAAAAAUGAUAUGUGCAUGUAUACACUAAGUUAAGUAUACUCUAUUUACAUUACAGACAUUUAACUCGGAACAGUAUUAGUCAUAUCAGGGAGCAGGCAUUUGGGUACUUACCUUCACUGUCUCAAAUG